RNAcentral lists this ribosomal RNA (669 nucleotides) under Citrobacter freundii. RNAcentral describes it as "bacterial SSU rRNA". It matches the Rfam family "Bacterial small subunit ribosomal RNA", at positions 58 to 716 of the family's 1533-position model. Lineage: Bacteria; Pseudomonadati; Pseudomonadota; Gammaproteobacteria; Enterobacterales; Enterobacteriaceae. The record is from RNAcentral.
CAAGUCGAACGGUAGCACAGAGGAGCUUGCUCCUUGGGUGACGAGUGGCGGACGGGUGAGUAAUGUCUGGGAAACUGCCCGAUGGAGGGGGAUAACUACUGGAAACGGUAGCUAAUACCGCAUAACGUCGCAAGACCAAAGAGGGGGACCUUCGGGCCUCUUGCCAUCGGAUGUGCCCAGAUGGGAUUAGCUAGUAGGUGGGGUAACGGCUCACCUAGGCGACGAUCCCUAGCUGGUCUGAGAGGAUGACCAGCCACACUGGAACUGAGACACGGUCCAGACUCCUACGGGAGGCAGCAGUGGGGAAUAUUGCACAAUGGGCGCAAGCCUGAUGCAGCCAUGCCGCGUGUAUGAAGAAGGCCUUCGGGUUGUAAAGUACUUUCAGCGAGGAGGAAGGUGUUGUGGUUAAUAACCGCAGCAAUUGACGUUACUCGCAGAAGAAGCACCGGCUAACUCCGUGCCAGCAGCCGCGGUAAUACGGAGGGUGCAAGCGUUAAUCGGAAUUACUGGGCGUAAAGCGCACGCAGGCGGUCUGUCAAGUCGGAUGUGAAAUCCCCGGGCUCAACCUGGGAACUGCAUCCGAAACUGGCAGGCUAGAGUCUUGUAGAGGGGGGUAGAAUUCCAGGUGUAGCGGUGAAAUGCGUAGAGAUCUGGAGGAAUACCGGUGGC